CACACACACACACACACACACGCUUCACGCACGAGCAUACCCGCACAACAGCAGAUCCAAAGAAACUGUGUUUUCAACUAUGAAAGUAAAGACAGGACGGCACUUUCUUAAAAACAGACCUUCAGCUAGUUCCACUCGAAGAGCAGACCUAGGGUGAAGCCUGAGAUUCAGUAUGUUAACAAGCUCCCAAGUGAUGGCGAUACUGCUGGUCCAUGGGCCACACUUUAAGAAACAAUUCAAAAGAGGAUAACAGAGAAUCAGAAUGUGGUUCAACAUAUCAUGUAUUGUCUUCGUGAACAUCCUGAGGUUUGUCUUUCCACAAUCCUCCCACUCAUGGUCUACACCCCCUGAAUGCUUCUUGAACAAGCCACAUGAUCUCCUUCUCCAAGUAAGCACUCAUGUUACUCUCCUUUCUAGAACGGUUUCCUCCUGGCCAAUUAAAGUAUAGAACUUCAACCCAA
Ictidomys tridecemlineatus (thirteen-lined ground squirrel) is the source of this 461-nucleotide non-coding RNA. NCBI's taxonomy places the organism in Eukaryota, Metazoa, Chordata, Mammalia, Rodentia, Sciuridae. The record is from RefSeq and is a predicted model, not a curated record.